CAGGGGAUAGUUUAAUUAGAAUAUCAGCUUUGGGUGCUGAUGGUGGGGGUUUAAUACCUCUCUCUUGA
Molecule: transfer RNA, 68 nt
Filed under: Tylonycteris fulvida
Lineage: Eukaryota; Metazoa; Chordata; Mammalia; Chiroptera; Vespertilionidae
Description: tRNA-Pro
Rfam family: tRNA
About the family: Transfer RNA (tRNA) molecules are approximately 80 nucleotides in length. Their secondary structure includes four short double-helical elements and three loops (D, anti-codon, and T loops). Further hydrogen bonds mediate the characteristic L-shaped molecular structure. tRNAs have two regions of fundamental functional importance: the anti-codon, which is responsible for specific mRNA codon recognition, and the 3' end, to which the tRNAs corresponding amino acid is attached (by aminoacyl-tRNA synthetases). tRNAs cope with the degeneracy of the genetic code in two manners: having more than one tRNA (with a specific anti-codon) for a particular amino acid; and 'wobble' base-pairing, i.e. permitting non-standard base-pairing at the 3rd anti-codon position.
Source: RNAcentral